UGACAUCUGUUCCUCUGAUGAAGCCUCUUAUGUUUUAUCAGAUUUCAGAAUGUCAGAGAGUAAAAACGAGUUGCUUCACCCAGAAUUGUAUCUCUAAUUACACUGUCUGGCUUUUGCGGAUUCAUACAGUU
Pogonomyrmex barbatus (red harvester ant) is the source of this 131-nucleotide small nucleolar RNA. RefSeq annotates it as small nucleolar RNA SNORA79. Lineage: Eukaryota; Metazoa; Arthropoda; Insecta; Hymenoptera; Formicidae. The record is from RefSeq and is a predicted model, not a curated record.